GAGUAUUUAUGGAUUUACCAAAUGUAAUCGAGGUAUGAUUAAGGUCUCAUUGAUGAUGUAAAAAUAGUUUUAGAACCAUUAGAUCAAUUCUUGAUGGGAGGUAUACAUAAUCAGUGGUAUUGAUGCAAAGUCAAAACGAGCUUAGCAUAAGUGCGCUACGCUCGAUCGGGUAAGCAUAACUAUUGGGUAUGAAGUCAUAUGGACCUAAGGUUUGGUGUGAGUGUUUUACACAUGAGGAUAAUAGGCCUAGCAGAUGAUUAAGUCGAAAUUAUUGAAGUGAUAAGGUUUUCAUAAGUCAAAAGGUGAAAUGAUGAGAUGAAAGGUGUCAAAUUUUGAUACAAUAAGGCUAAAUCAUUGAAAAUAAAGAAUUUUCAUCAACCUUAUCACUUUGCACGACCAUUACUCUGAAAAACAGAGAGAAAAGAAAAACAAAAACCAUUUCUUGGCUGGUUUGAAGAAAUUCUAAGGAGAUCCAAGUGAAAUCAAAGCCAAAGAAGUGGAUUAAGCUUAGUUCUAGCCUUUUUAUGGAUAAGCAUAUCAACACCUAAGACACCACUUGUUACACGAUGAAUUAUAUUUUGGACAGAAGGUAGAGAAAGAAAUGUGUGAAUGACAUGAGGAGAACUGAAGCAUGGUCCUGACCCUGAUUUGUACAUAUGAACAUAUCGACCUUUUGUGGGUUAUUUCAGUUAUCAGUGUGAUGUUUGUAAUAAAGUGUGAAGUUAUAUUUUGAAAAUAAAUUGGGUUAUUUAAUACUUAUGUAUAAUAUGUUUGAGACACACUUUAUGUUUAAUGUAAAUAAUGUGAAAUAAGUUUUCAAGUUUAAAAAAAAAAAGUCCAGACUUCCGCAGUAAUAAAUUAUGAUAUAGUUUUAAAACGUAACACCUCAAAUAUGGUUUUAACUAAAAUAAGCGAGGGU
Long non-coding RNA from Humulus lupulus (European hop), 919 nucleotides. RefSeq lists it as uncharacterized. The record is from RefSeq and is a predicted model, not a curated record. The transcript is spliced from 3 exons. Lineage: Eukaryota; Viridiplantae; Streptophyta; Magnoliopsida; Rosales; Cannabaceae.